GGGGCGUGGCUCAGUUGGUUGAGUGCUUACCUAACAUGCAGGAAAGUCUGGGUUUGAGCCCCAGCGCCACCU
Molecule: transfer RNA, 72 nt
Filed under: Mus musculus (house mouse)
Lineage: Eukaryota; Metazoa; Chordata; Mammalia; Rodentia; Muridae
Rfam family: tRNA
About the family: Transfer RNA (tRNA) molecules are approximately 80 nucleotides in length. Their secondary structure includes four short double-helical elements and three loops (D, anti-codon, and T loops).
Source: Rfam by way of RNAcentral